Molecule: ribosomal RNA, 184 nt
Filed under: Escherichia coli
Lineage: Bacteria; Pseudomonadati; Pseudomonadota; Gammaproteobacteria; Enterobacterales; Enterobacteriaceae
Also listed under: 1 other name
Description: partial 16S ribosomal RNA
Rfam family: Bacterial small subunit ribosomal RNA
Source: RNAcentral
UUAAAUUGAAGAGUUUGAUCAUGGCUCAGAUUGAACGCUGGCGGCAGGCCUAACACAUGCAAGUCGAACGGUAACAGGAAACAGCUUGCUGUUUCGCUGACGAGUGGCGGACGGGUGAGUAAUGUCUGGGAAACUGCCUGAUGGAGGGGGAUAACUACUGGAAACGGUAGCUAAUACCGCAUAA